GUCCAGCGUGAGACACAACUUGAAUCCAACCAGACUGAACACUGACUCCAGGGACAGACGAGCCUGAAGGACACAGCUGUGAUGACCAUGUUCUGUCUCUUAUGGCAAAGCAGAAAUAUUAAACACUGGGUUCUUAUCUAAAGUGUAUCAAAUCAGAUCUCCACCAUGUUGCUGCUGAGGACAUCAGGUGCUGCAGCUCUUCAUCUAUGAAGAGAAAAAACGCACUGUUAAAGAAUGUUUUGUGUUGUGUAUGAAGCACAACAGAUUUCAGAUAGAACUGUUGUCUUGGUUUGUAUCCUCAUGGUUAAAUGUACAUAUUUUAAGUCCCUUCUGAUAAAAGUACUGAAAGAAAUACACAUUGUACAAAUAGAUAAAAUGUCUUUCUACCUCAUCAGUAAUAUUCAAGGUGAUAAUCUCCCACAGAGCUAUUGAUAACAGUCCACAUCAAGUCUCUCCACUUCUCUCAGUGUGAAAACAUAAUUAUAUAAUUAAUUUGAGAACUGUUUACAACACUGAUGUGUGGAGAUUAAAAUCAUAUCUAAACUGUCUAAUUCACUGUAAAACUCCAUGACAUUCGCAGGCCAUCUGUAGUUAAGGGAGCAACGUAUGGAGUGAUGUGUAGAGGGCAGAAACUUGGACUAUGGGCAGAGAAGGUCUCUGGUUCGUCUCCGGUUCGACUCCACGGAGAGACAACAAAAGACAAACCUGGAUUGAUCUGUCCAAAAAUCCAAGAGUCUCCCUACCCUCUCUAGUGCCCCUGAGCAAGGCACCUCACUCCCCCAACAUCUGCUCCGUGAGCGCCGUACAUGGUCGCUCACUGCUCUGUGUGUCCUGCACCAGAUGGGUAAAAAGCAGAGAUUAAAUUUCCCUACCUGCAUGAGUGUGCCUUUGCAUGUCUGUGCAUGUGUUUGGGACGAAUAAAUGGAUCUUAAUCUUAAUCUUUUAAUCUUAAUCAGUUGUCUUCCAGUUGACCAGCAUGAAGCUGCAAAUCUCCACCAUGUUGCUGCUGAGGACAUCAGGAGCUGCAUUAAUGAGGAGCAGAAGCGCACUGUUAUGAAUGUUUUGUGUUGUGUAUGAAGCACCACAUAUUUCAGAUAGAACCGAUGUACUGGGGUCUGGGUUUGUAUACUAAUGGUUAAAUGCACAUACUUUAAAUCGCUUUUGAUAAAA
Molecule: long non-coding RNA, 1170 nt
Organism: Pleuronectes platessa (European plaice)
Lineage: Eukaryota; Metazoa; Chordata; Actinopteri; Pleuronectiformes; Pleuronectidae
Exons: 2
Source: RefSeq, a predicted model, not a curated record